Molecule: non-coding RNA, 97 nt
Organism: Mariniphaga anaerophila
Lineage: Bacteria; Pseudomonadati; Bacteroidota; Bacteroidia; Marinilabiliales; Prolixibacteraceae
Source: Rfam
GAGAGCCGUAUACGCGGAGACGUGUACGUACGGUUCGGGGGCGAGCACCCGAAAACCCACCGUAGUAAUACGGCAGGGCGUUGGAUGCUUAGCCUAC